AUUUUAAAUGGUUCUUUAUUCAUAAACUUGAUGCAAGUUUACAAAAUUUACUGUACAUUGCCAAAAUAAGUCUGCAAGGAAAAAUUUAAAAAAAAGCAUGCCAAAUUGCAGCUGUCAAUCUGCUAGCCAUCAGGAAAUUAAGUAUUUAAGAAUAGAGUCAAGAUUUAGCCUUAGGUUUAAGGAACUUUGAUGCUUUAAAAUUUCAAUUCUGCCUCACCACAGCUGUUAUCUGAGCAACCAGCAAUCAGAACCUUAUAUAAACAUAACCAAGUGAGCAAGAAUGCCAGAAAAUAUUUACCUUCUGCCCCCAUCACCAAGAUAGGAAGAGAAGAAAUGAAACGCAUGUAAUAACCUGGAAGUGCCAAGGGUCUUGGAUGUGAAUCUGAAAGUAAAAUGUGUAAGAAAACACUUUGGAACUCUGUACAGGAUUCCUGCAGAAAAUUGUGCUUCUGGUUUCUUUGUAAAAGUGCUUAAUAACCACAAUUCGUUUUUAAAUCAAAUGAGUUUAUUUUUAAAAAGGUAGAGAUC
This is a long non-coding RNA of Dipodomys spectabilis (banner-tailed kangaroo rat), 528 nucleotides long. RefSeq lists it as uncharacterized. NCBI's taxonomy places the organism in Eukaryota, Metazoa, Chordata, Mammalia, Rodentia, Heteromyidae. The record is from RefSeq and is a predicted model, not a curated record. The transcript has 3 exons.